Molecule: long non-coding RNA, 639 nt
Organism: Dama dama (fallow deer)
Lineage: Eukaryota; Metazoa; Chordata; Mammalia; Artiodactyla; Cervidae
Exons: 3
Source: RefSeq, a predicted model, not a curated record
GGAAACACACAGGGCCUGGUAAAAUGGCGGGCUAGGGUCAAGGCCGCCCAUCUGCCUCUCUGCUGUGACGUGCGCCGGCGCCUCAAGCCCACACACCAUGGCUUCCUCCUUCCUGUUUCCAGGGCAGACUCUUCCUCGAUGUCUCCGUCCCAAUUCUCGACAGUCCAGAUGGCAAAGCCCUGUGAUGCCUUUACUUCUCUAAGGUUCACACAGAGCAAAAGAUCUUGGUAUAAAGACAGAACAAAGUCCAGUGUGCAAUGACUUCAAGGCGUCACCACUUAGAAGGGGACCCUGGAAAAUAUCCGAAACGGCAGCCAACCCUUGGCCUUUGAGUUUAAAAGUCUGGGGACUUACGAUGUGAAUUUCUACCAGGAAGUUGUGAUAUUACAGUGUUCAGCCCUAUUCCACCCAUUCCGCCCUUAAUAACAAAGCUUGAAAAUGAAUCACAAACGAAGUCAUGGCAGAGUACAUUCCAAAAGAGCAGGGGAAAUGACUGGAGCAAAGUUGUGCCUGACAUGCACACUGCUUGAAGCACACUGUGUAAAUUCCGGACGAUCAAGGAAACAACUUUAUCAGUCAUGGGACACUGGGACUGGGUGUCAUAAAGGUGCACAAACGUCUGCAAGAAUUGGAAUAAAG